RNAcentral lists this ribosomal RNA (397 nucleotides) under uncultured bacterium. RNAcentral's name for it is "partial 16S ribosomal RNA". It matches the Rfam family "Bacterial small subunit ribosomal RNA", at positions 338 to 732 of the family's 1533-position model. The record is from RNAcentral.
CCUACGGGAGGCUGCAGUGAGGAAUAUUGGUCAAUGGACGCAGGUCUGAACCAGCCAAGUAGCGUGAAGGAUGACUGCCCUAUGGGUUGUAAACUUCUUUUAUAAAGGAGUAAAGCGAGCCACGUGUGCCGUUUUGCAUGUACUUUAUGAAUAAGGAUCGGCUAACUCCGUGCCAGCAGCCGCGGUAAUACGGAGGAUGCGAGCGUUAUCCGGAUUUAUUGGGUUUAAAGGGUGCGUAGGUGGGUUGUUAAGUCAGGCGUUAAAUUUUGCGGCUCAACCGUAGACGUGCAAUUGAUACUGGCAGUCUUGAGUGCACUAGAGGUAAGCGGAAUGCGUGGUGUAGCGGUGAAAUGCAGAGAUAUCACGAAGAACUCCGAUUGCGAAGGCAGCAUACUAA